Molecule: ribosomal RNA, 468 nt
Filed under: uncultured bacterium
Lineage: Bacteria
Description: partial 16S ribosomal RNA
Rfam family: Bacterial small subunit ribosomal RNA
Source: RNAcentral
GACGAACGCUGGCGGCGUGCUUAAUACAUGCAAGUCGAACGGAAAGGCGCGGCUUUUGUGGGGUGCUCGAGUGGCGAACGGGGGAGUAACACGUGAGUAACCUGUCCUUGACUUUGGGAUAACUUCAGGAAACUGGGGCUAAUAUCGGAUAGGAGCUCCUGCUGCAUGGUGGGGGUUGGAAAGAUUCGGCGGUUGGGGAUGGACUCGCGGCUUAUCAGCUUGUUGGUCGGGUAGUGGCUUACCAAGGCUUUGACGGGUAGCCGGCCUGAGAGGGUGACCGGGCACAUUGGGCCUGCGAUACGGCCCAGAAUCCUACGGGAGGCAGCGGUGGAGAAUAUUACGCAAUGGGCGGAAGCCUGAUACAACGACGCCGCGUGCGGAAUGACGGCCUUCGGGUUAUAAACCGCUUUCGAAUGUAACGAAGCGUGAGUGACGGUAAUGAGUAAGAAAGCCACGGCUAACUACGUG